This 24-nucleotide non-coding RNA is filed under the name Cricetulus griseus (Chinese hamster). RNAcentral also lists the same sequence under 1 other name. Lineage: Eukaryota; Metazoa; Chordata; Mammalia; Rodentia; Cricetidae. The record is from miRBase by way of RNAcentral.
UGCACUCCAGCCUGGGCAACAUAG